AAUCAACGCUGGAGGCGUGCCUCAGACAUGCAAGUCGUACGAUUAAAGCUCUCUUCGGAGAGUGUAUAGAGUGGCGCACGGGUGAGUAACACGUAAGUAAUCUACCUUCGAGUGGGGAAUAACAGUCGGAAACGACUGCUAAUACCGCAUAAUGCAGCGGCACCUAAUGGUGACAGUUGUUAAAGCAUUUAUGUGCUUGAAGAGGAGCUUGCGGCAGAUUAGCUAGUUGGUAAGGCAAUGGCUUACCAAGGCGACGAUCUGUAGCCGACCUGAGGAGGGUGGUCGGUCACACUGACACUGAAUAACGGGUCAGACUCCUACGGGAGGCAGCAGUCGGGUAAUUUUGGGCAAUGGGACGAAAGCCUCGACCAGCAACGCCGCGUGAAGGAUGAAGGUCUC
Molecule: ribosomal RNA, 399 nt
Filed under: uncultured bacterium
Lineage: Bacteria
Description: bacterial SSU rRNA
Rfam family: Bacterial small subunit ribosomal RNA
Source: RNAcentral